GACACCACUGAGUGACCCCAACAGUGUGACACCAAUGUGUCCCCAAUGCAGUGACACCACUGAGUGACCCCAACAGUGCGACACCAAUGUGUCCCCAGCAGUGACACCAAUGUGUCCCCAAUGCAGUGACACCGCUGAGUGACCCCAACAGUGUGACACCAAUGUGUCCCCAAUGCAGUGACACCACUGAGUGACCCCAACAGUGCGACACCAAUGUGUCCCCAGCAGUGACACCAAUUGUCCCCAAUGCAGUGACACCAAUGUGUGUCCCCAACAGUGCGACACCAAUGUGUCCCCAACAGUGUGACACCACUGAGUGACCCCAACAGUGACACCAUUGUGUCCCCAAUGCAGUGCCACCGAGUGACCCCAACAGUGUGACACCACUGAGUGUCCCCAGUGCAAUGAUAUCACUGAGUGACCCCAACAGUGUGACACCGAUUGUCCCCAAUGCAAUGACACCAAUGUGUGUCCCCAGCAGUGACACCAAUGUGUCCCCAAUGCAGUGACACCGCUGAGUGACCCCAACACAGUGACACCAAUGUGUCCCCAAUGCAGUGACACCGCUGAGUGACCCCAACAGUGUGACACCAAUGUGUCCCCAAUGCAAUGACACCAAUGUGUGUCCCCAUGCAGUGACACCAAUGUGUCCCCAACAGUGUGACACCACUGAGUGUCCCCAAUGCAGUGACACCGCUGAGUGUCCCCAACCCGCGGUGACGCUGAGCUCCGUCCCCUCCAACGCAGCCGUGCUGUGACCCCACAGUUCUGACCCCCAGCAUCCCCUCCAACGCCCCCAUCCCAUCACUCCGCGCCCCUUUAGGUCCCCUCCGGCCCCACAUGCUGUGCUCCCUUUGCUCUGACCCAUAGGAUCCCUCCCACCCCACCACUCCAUGGUCCUUUAUGUCCCCUCGAACCCAACCACGAUAUGACCCCAUUGCUUUAUGACCUAUAGGAUCCCUUCCAAUCCCCCCAUUCCGUGAUCUUUGAGGUCCCUCCCAACCCCACCAUGCUGUGAUCCCAUUGCUCCACAACCUAUAGGAUCCCUUCCAACACCGCCUCUUCCAUGAUCCUUUAUGUCUCCUCCAACCCCCCCAUGCUAUGAUCCUACAGCUCUAUGGUCAUUGAGGUCCCACCAACCCCCCCAUGCAGUGAUCCCAUUGCUCCACAACCUAUAGGAUCCCUUCCAACACCCCUUAUUCCAUGACUCCAUGAUCCUUUGUCUCCUCCAACCCCCCCAUGCUGUGAUCCCAUCACUCUGUGGUCACUGAGGUCCCAUCAACCCCACUAAGCUGUGAUCCCAUUGCUCCACGACCUAUAGGAUCCCUUCCAACGCCCCCACUUCCACGAUCCUUUAUGUCUCCUCCAACCCCCCCAUGCCGUGAUCCUAUAGCUCUAUGGUCACUAAGGUCCCACCAACCCCCCCAUGCUGUGAUCCCAUCGCUCUGUGGUCAUUGAGGUCCCAUCAACUCCCCCGUGCCGUGAUCCUAUUGCUCCAUGGCCUAUAGGAUCCCUUCCAACGCCCCCUAUUCCAUGAUUCUGUGAUCCUUUACAUCUCCUCCAACCCCCCCAUGCCAUGAUCCCAUUGCUCUGUGGUCAUUGAGAUCCCAUCAACCCCCCCAUGCAGUGAUCCCAUUGCUCCACAACCUAUAGGAUCCCUUCCAACACC
Molecule: long non-coding RNA, 1669 nt
Filed under: Gallus gallus (chicken)
Lineage: Eukaryota; Metazoa; Chordata; Aves; Galliformes; Phasianidae
Description: lncRNA (ENSGALG00010028809.1)
Source: RNAcentral